Molecule: non-coding RNA, 24 nt
Filed under: Arabidopsis thaliana (thale cress)
Lineage: Eukaryota; Viridiplantae; Streptophyta; Magnoliopsida; Brassicales; Brassicaceae
Source: RNAcentral
AACGUCAUACAUGUGGUUCUGCCG